UACGAAGGGGGCUAGCGUUGUUCGGAUUUACUGGGCGUAAAGCGCACGUAGGCGGAUCGAUCAGUCAGGGGUGAAAUCCCAGAGCUCAACUCUGGAACUGCCUUUGAUACUGUCGAUCUGGAGUAUGGAAGAGGUGAGUGGAAUUCCGAGUGUAGAGGUGAAAUUCGUAGAUAUUCGCAAGAACACCAGUGGCGAAGGCGGCCAACUGGUCCGGUACUGACGCUGAGGUGCGAAAGCGUGGGGAGCAAACAGG
Molecule: ribosomal RNA, 253 nt
Filed under: uncultured bacterium
Lineage: Bacteria
Description: partial 16S ribosomal RNA
Rfam family: Bacterial small subunit ribosomal RNA
Source: RNAcentral